GUAUACCAUACAAUCAUUGCUUACACGAAAUAUAGUAGAUCUUUUGCUUAUAGUAUCUGAUUAACUUACAAAGCCAUGAAAACUUAACAUUGUCCAAUGAACAAAAAAUUCAUGUCAAAUGAACCCUGCUUGACAAGACAUGUUCACAAUACAAUCUUUCAAUAUACUAUAUACAGAGGCCCUUUUGCUUAUACAAUGUAGUAUUGAGUAAAAGACAACCCACAAAAAUCAAACAAUGUACACUGAACCAUGAAAAUGAGGUCAUGUAAAAUGAACCCUGCUUGGUAAGACAUGUUCACCA
This 301-nucleotide long non-coding RNA is filed under the name Mytilus galloprovincialis (Mediterranean mussel). Lineage: Eukaryota; Metazoa; Mollusca; Bivalvia; Mytilida; Mytilidae. The record is from RNAcentral.